RNAcentral lists this long non-coding RNA (3000 nucleotides) under Triticum aestivum (bread wheat). RNAcentral describes it as "long non-coding RNA (TAES_LNC009089)". The record is from RNAcentral. Lineage: Eukaryota; Viridiplantae; Streptophyta; Magnoliopsida; Poales; Poaceae.
UAUAGGCCUCAUCAUAAACAGUAAAGUAUAUCCAAUAAAUAUAACGACCAUAUAUAAGCCGGUUGUGCCAAAAAAGUACAUAUAUGUUUACAGAUGUGUCACACAAUCAAAAUAAAGUAGUGCCACAAAAGGAGAAGUACAUAUGUUUUUAGAUGUGCCACACAGCCAAAAUGAGCUUAACAACCAUCAAAAUGAGCAGAGCAAGUCUCCAGGUUCAACAAACAAGACAUACGACACUAUCAUUCCACCAACUUAAUUGUAGGUCUUCCAAAUCUUCAGCAACUUGAAGAUCUUCCAUACCUCGAUCAACUUUUGUACCUCUAGGAAGCCUGCAAUAGAUCGGCAGAUGUUACACACAACAGUUGCACUCAGAACUUAAGAAAGAUGUUACAACAAUCACAUAUAACAGCCGCAUGCCCACAUACAAAAGCGGCAUAUGUUCUGAAAUAUAGAGAAACAAGUAACAUCUCUAGAGUAAUCUCUACUACAGUACGAACAUGUCCUGGACAUCAACACGUCCAUUUUUUAUCAUCUUGAUAGUAGCAAGCUUAUCUUACUUCUCAUCCUAAUAUAGUGUGCAAAGUCUCUACAAAUAUUAACAAAAACUAGUAGGUGUACCUUGUAUUUUAAACACUUGCCUACAGCAGAAGUGAGGCUAUAGACUCAUGGUAUGUAAUUGGGUGCUUUGGUUGUAAUAUGGUCAUCUAUAUUUGAUCUGAUAAUGGUAGUGUGUCUGCCGCAUAAGGGGCCAAGAACAUAAUGAAUGUUUAGUUUCUCUGCAUUUAGCAAGUUAAUUAAGAAUCUGUAUUAAGUCAAAGUGAUUGUGAAGUUGUAUGCCUGCCAGUAGAUGUACCUGAUAUUGUUGCAAGUACAAGUGUGUGAAAUGAAAGCAUUAGGUAUUUUAAAUUAAAGAGAAAAAUAGAGACAUUUGUUCCAGAUCUCAGGUAUUUAAAACUGGCCAACUUCAUACUGCACAUAGCUAAUAUUACUGUACCAAAGUAAAGCGCGAACAGAAUUUAUGACCAUUUUGAUUUUUUUUCUGCAUUUUCAAACACAAUCACGAGGCCAUGAUCACACCCUAAACAUUACACAAGUGCAUUUUCAAGCUACUGUACUGUACAAGUACAUAUGCAAAUUUACAGUUGUAGCUUCAAGUAGGAUCAGUAAAUUCAGGAUACAAGUUACUGUAAUAAGCAAAGUGGUAUAAGCAGGUUACAUACACAAAGUUACUGUACUAGCCAGCGAAUCAAGUUAGCGUUAUUUGGGCCUACUUUUCUUUCUAAGUCUCUGUAUCUACUACGCUGCCCACAAUAUAAAAAACUGUAAUAAGCGAAGUGGUAUAAGCAGGUUACAUACACAAAGUUACUGUACUAGCCAGCGAAUCAAGUUAGCGUUAUAUGGGCUUACUUUUCCUUCUAAUUCUCUGUAACUACUACACUGCCCACAGUAUAAAAAAUCUAGGACAAGUUUCUAUAUUGGUUGACUAUCCUACAUCUCCCACAACAAGUUGAAUUAGCCUAAAAAAUUAGACCAUGGCUUUGUACAAAUAAACAAACAAGCUGAUUUAUGCACCAGUUUAGGACCUGUGAUGAAUGGAACAUGAAUCAAAUUAAAGUUAUGAGCUGCGCCAUGUAUGGCAUGGGUCGCAUAUACUUGCAUGUUUAAGUAUGUUAUUACACACUAGAUUACAUAUAAAUACAAGUGAGUGAGCAUGGAAUCUAACGAAAAUCAUUUCUCUACAUGGCAGAGUCUUCCGUGUACAUGAAAGGAAGUGGAUCCAGUUGCAGUUUAUAUCAUAUCCUGAAAUACUUCAUGUGACUUGAAGAAAGAACAUAUUUUCAGUAGUGAAAAGACAAUUAUAUCUGUAAUGGAUGAAAAUAAGAUCAGCUGCCACACCCUUUGCUCCCAAGUCCUACCAUCAAUCCAUAAAAGCAUGGUUUUUGAAAAUGGAGCUGACAUAACUAAGGUAAAGUUCACUUGUGUUCAUCUCUCACUUGUGUUAACCAAUAUGAUGACUCAGUGUCUGCAAUCCUAUUGUUUCUAAUUAAUAGUGUUUGAAAGUCAGAUUAUAUGUGUGAAGAGAGCAUUACCACUCACUGAAAAUUUAGUGAACAAGCUGCGGUUUCUUUAUUUCCCUUGCAAGAUUGUUGUUUCCUUCUCUCUUUUUUCCAGAGUGUUGUUUCAGGUUCUUUGUUAGGACUGCAGAUUCUUUCUUUUUUCAAGCAGCAUAGCUUCAUUCUCAUUCUCCUUUUGCAGGCCUUCUACUCCCUUCUUACUUUGCUGUGGCAAAACAGAGAAACAUAUAAAAAUGUUAUAUGAUGAAUAUUUGCUUAAAAACAAUGUGGCCAGAGGUAGGCACAAGAUGCAAAGUGUCAGCUCUCCAAGCUCACGAACAGGCAAAAAUUCAGAGGGUAUCGACGCUCGUUCUCCAUGGUAGCAGGAACCAAAAAUCCACCCAAAAAGUUGGGGGGAAACUCACAUCAGACCAAACAAAUCUAACAACCUCAUCUCAACAUACAAAAUUGACAGCAUCCAAAGGGAUCUGCCCUCUAGGAGACAGGAGGAGGGACAGGGGAGAGGAGGUGUGACGGAUCUGAGCAGCAUCUUGGUAAGGAAAAACUCGUCUGCAUCAGGUUUCCAACAUGACGGAUCUGAGCAGCAUCUUGUGCCAGCGUAGUGAGGAGCAUGCACCACACUCACCGUCGGCGUGGAGGGAACCAUGGUGGGAAGCCUGCCCGUGCUCGUCAGCGCAGAGGGACGUGGAGAUGAGGAGCGCGGCGGCGUGGUUGUGGGGGGACGACCCUGAGAUGUAGAGGAGCCAGGAAGAACCGCUUCCUCUCGCCCUUGCCGUCGCCGUGCUCGCAACGCGAUGGACGAGACACGGUUUUCGUCGCAAGAUCUGGUGCUGGAGAUGAAGGCGACAUCGACCUGACGCACCGGCGCCGUCGUCCAUUCCUGGCGGCGGUGCCGAAGGGAGGGAGGCGACGCCAACCUCGAUGN